UGAAACUCCCUCCUGGCACAGGUUGAAAAAAAGCAGUGGUGACAAGUGUCCCCGUCCAGGGGAGUGCUGGUAGCAGGAGUGAGUGGGGUGUGUUUGUGUGUUACAAAGGCACUCGAGCAGUGCUUGGCAAUUUGAGGACCUACGACAUGUUUCUGACCCUGGAAUCGAUUAAAAACUCUCUAAACCUGCCCUGCCGUUGCUUUGACCUGGAAAGCAAAAGAAGGUACCGUUGCCUAGCAGGGCAGGAGCUGCCCAUUGCUCCAUGCCCUGUUGGAUGGCAUCCCUGCCGCUGGAGAGCAGGCUCUCCUGGAGCCAGAGUCAAUCCACGGGAACCAGGAGCCACAAGAAACAGUUAAAGAAACAAUUAGCCCAAAGGACGCAAGCGGUUUGUCUGCCCCUUCCAGCGGAGCCUCUCCCCAAGGGAGGGCAGGAGCCUCCAGAAGGAUGCACUUCCAGAAGCAGGCCUGGCCCACAGAAGAUGCAUUACAGAUGAAGUGCCAACAGUCUGUCAGGAAACAAGUGAAACAAUUUCUGUAAUGCUUCCUGCCAGGGUUGAAGAAGAAACCUCUGUAAUCUGAAGGUCAACAGUGACGGAAGACUUUCAUCUCUACCUUUAAAUAUGACUUAAAUCAGGAAGAAAUACAGUUUCUUCUCUUUGUACUAUGUUUUUAUGGUGUACCCUGGUGUAGUGUGUUUCUGUGAGACUUGAAGAGUGUGUGUCUUAACAGAAUGGGAUGAUGGUUAAUGCAGUGAUUCCUCCAAGGACAUCAAGCCUUCCAGCUGCUGUUUGAUUCUGAUGGUCUUACUGGUUGUCAUUUGGUGGAUAUUAGUUGAUUAUUGCCCAGCAAUUGGCUAACAUGUUUGUAGAAGUUUCAUGGAAGGAUCAGGGGACUCGAAGAGCAGAGCAAGUUAACUUCUUUUGGCAUAACACCAAUAAUGUAGCACUUUAACAAAGAAAAUAUGUUUCUAGGUAUAAGCAUGGUGAUUCUGUUGAGUGUCUCAGACUUCUUAAGUAAAAACUUGAUGAUGGCCACCUGAGAAGCAACUUCUAAGAAAAACAAAAGGGUGGAGUUCUAUGUGAAAAAUGCAUGUGCCUCAGCUAAAUGAAUAACUUCUGUCUCUCUGGGUCAAUCUGACAGUCCUUUGCACAAUAAUGAUGUAAACUUCAUUGCAAUGAAUUUAUAUGUGUGUUCUAGAUGUUACUGUAUUACUGGAGCAAGGAGAUGGGUACUUUUUUCUUUUUCUAAACACUGACCUCAAUAGGAUUUAUUGCAGAGACUGAGGGAAACACUGUUGUUGUCAACCUGCUUUGUGAAUGCCACUGGAGAGAAGGUUCAGAGUUUCCCAAGUGAUUCACAGAUGUCUUAUGGCUGGACGUUACUGUGGGGACCUCAGAGUCAUUUAAUUUCUCCCUUGGAGAGUGCUAUCCGUUCUUGUGUUCCAGCAGCCACUGAAACUCCUUCCCCUUGCUCCUCUGUCUGGCGUAAACUUAGAGAUGUGAAUUGCUUGUGCUUUUCCCUCCCUGUAAUAUUCCUUGGAUCUUAUUUUAAUGUUAUUUUAGUGUUGUUUUCUCUUAUUUUAAUUACUUAAAUUUUUAAGCUUUUCUCCCUGUUUCCUGCCAUUUUUUUCCCAUAAAUAAAGCGUGUUCUUCCAUUUCAUAGCU
Calidris pugnax (ruff) is the source of this 1663-nucleotide long non-coding RNA. RefSeq lists it as uncharacterized. The record is from RefSeq and is a predicted model, not a curated record. Lineage: Eukaryota; Metazoa; Chordata; Aves; Charadriiformes; Scolopacidae. The transcript is spliced from 3 exons.